Megalobrama amblycephala (Wuchang bream) is the source of this 1358-nucleotide long non-coding RNA. RefSeq lists it as uncharacterized. NCBI's taxonomy places the organism in Eukaryota, Metazoa, Chordata, Actinopteri, Cypriniformes, Xenocyprididae. The transcript has 3 exons. The record is from RefSeq and is a predicted model, not a curated record.
UUUUGAGAGGUGUCAUGCAAGCCACGACACCUCAGACGGCAAGCUCUCUGUGUUAACACCUCGAGUAUAACAGCUAGCAAAUGUGAGAGUCAGAGCAGGCACCAAACUAACACACACACUCUAUAAUAAGAAAUCAUCAGACGAGCCCUUCCUAGUCACAGGGAUGCUUGAACGUUUCGGAGAGACGGAGGACUGAGUAUGGAGAGAACAUUAAAUCGGGCAUGAUUUACUUUUGUCAUUUUGUCCACAUGCAUUAGACAGAUAAAAGCUUUUGUUGCGGAAAAAAAAAGUUUCCUUCCAAAUAUGCCCAAUUUCAUGGUAAAUUCAUGUAUGUUUUUAAUUUAUGUCCAUGGUCUACUCUAGAUGGCAAAGUUAAAGUGUUUUCGAAGGUUUGCACAGGAAUGCUUUGUCAACAGAGCAGUUGCAUGGACAUGUCACUUGAUGGCAGCACUGAGCAACAAGUCACCCAGUGCUUAUUUUGAUUCAAACCAGUCAAAUCUGUGGUGAACGUGAUUUCACCAAAUACAACAUGUUCCUUGAUCAACAACUUUGUCAAUCCUGGAACAACAUUCCAAUCAACCAAUCAGAUUUGAUCGGCAAGUUUACAGUUUAUGUCAAAUUUAGCUUUACAGCUAGGGUUAGAUGCUUGAACAUCAGUGUUAUUCACCUAUCAUUUCCCUCUGAUUUUAGGGAUAAAUUAUGGGUUGGGUUGGGUUAGGGAUAGGAUUAGGACUUAAUUUUCAGACAGGAAUGUUGUUCCAGGAUCAACAAAACAUGCUGACCCAGGAACAUGUCUUACUUGGCAAAUGGCAUGGUGACCAAAAUGAUGAAAGUGUAAAAGUUAUUAGAUAAAAAGAGCAAUAGUAGAUUUGUUUUGAUUAAAAUAAGUACUUUUUUUUCUUUAUGAAUGAAUUUAAAAACAGUCAUGCUUGUCUUCUAUAAUUCUAGGUGUGAAAUGACAACUAGGGUGGAAAGCACAGAUGAUCGUGACGGAAGCGCACAGGUCUACAGGUUGAGAAAGAUUCUCUCUGACUGAGCACUUGGAACGUGUCUGGCGGACUGCCGUGCGUCCUCUAACACCCGUCAACGGGAGUGUCAGCUUGAAACCUCCGAUCUUCUGUGGAGUUGAGAUGCUGACAGCUGCCAACGUGGAGGUAUUGUGCGUGCUCUUCCCCGUCGGUUUCCCGGUGAUAGAAGUAAUUGAAAUUGGACACAAUGACAGUGGUCAUGGUAACCACAGCCCACCAAAAAGCAUCAGGGAUGCUGCUGAAACUCGAGCUUGGGUCAUCUGCCUCCGCGAAGUAGACUGCGCUGGAAAACAAGAUGACCCCGAUGAAGAGGAAGAAGAUGAGAAGUCC